RNAcentral lists this ribosomal RNA (561 nucleotides) under Decatopecten radula. Its description in RNAcentral is "partial 16S ribosomal RNA". Lineage: Eukaryota; Metazoa; Mollusca; Bivalvia; Pectinida; Pectinidae. The record is from RNAcentral.
CGUAGGAUAGCUAUCCGUAGAUAGAAAGGUAGUGGCGAAAUACCUAUCGCACAAACCGAUAGCUGGUUGUUCUAGAAAUAUAUCUAAGUAUAGCUUUUAUAGGAAACAUAUGUUAAAAGCAAAUUUGGCUCAUUGAGGCCCCAACCCUCCUGGGGUUGGGGCCCCGAAGCAAGAUGUUUACUGUAAAAAGAUGGCUUUUUCAGGAUAAGCUGGGAAAGCUUUAUUUAAAGGUGGCUAGUGAAGUGUGAAAGAUUAUGUAGGUGGGUUUUAAGGAACUAUCUUUUUAGAGUGGGUUUGACUACACAAGUGUAUUUAUAUAAAAAUAAUAAUUUGUUUACCUUUUAGUAGUAUGGAACUAUUUUACGAAACGUGGGGAGUAAAAGAAAUAAUGUAAAGAUGAGUAGUUGAAAGACUAUAAAGUGCUUUUUGUUUCAGGGAAUAGGGCAAUAAAGAAAAAAGAGAUGGUAAUCAAAGCUAAAGGAACUCGGCAAAGUAGGGGACCGCCUGUUUAUCAAAAACAUGGCCCCUCGACCAUCAUGGGAGGUCGUGCCUUCCCGGUGA